UUAAGAUUUAUUUAGCUGGGUGGUGGU
Molecule: non-coding RNA, 27 nt
Filed under: Mus musculus (house mouse)
Lineage: Eukaryota; Metazoa; Chordata; Mammalia; Rodentia; Muridae
Source: RNAcentral